CUGCUGCCUUCCGUAGGAGUUUGGGCCGUGUCUCAGUCCCAAUGUGGCCGUCCACCCUCUCAGGCCGGCUACUGAUCGUCGCCUUGGUGGGCCGUUACCCCGCCAACAAGCUAAUCAGACGCGGGUCCAUCUUACACCACCGGAGUUUUUACACACAAAUCCAUGCGGCUUCGUGCGCUUAUGCGGUAUUAGCACCUAUUUCUAAGUGUUAUCCCCCAGUGUAAGGCAGGUUACCCACGCGUUACUCACCCGUCCGCCACUAAG
This 264-nucleotide ribosomal RNA is filed under the name uncultured bacterium. RNAcentral's name for it is "partial 16S ribosomal RNA". The record is from RNAcentral.